This 113-nucleotide small nuclear RNA is filed under the name Taenia solium (pork tapeworm). The record is from RNAcentral. Lineage: Eukaryota; Metazoa; Platyhelminthes; Cestoda; Cyclophyllidea; Taeniidae.
GUAUCUCCUCGGAGGUACAUAUACUAAAAUUGGAACGAUACAGAGAAGAUUAGCAUGGCCCCUGCGCAAGGAUGACACGCAAAAUCGUGAAGCGUUCCAUAUUUUCCGCUUUU